CCAGACUCCUACGGGAGGCAGCAGUGGGGAAUAUUGCACAAUGGGGGGAACCCUGAUGCAGCGACGCCGCGUGGGCGAGGAAGUAUUUCGGUAUGUAAAGCCCUAUCGGCAGGGAAGAAGAAAUGACGGUACCUGAAUAAGAAGCACCGGCUAAAUACGUGCCAGCAGCCGCGGUAAUACGUAUGGUGCAAGCGUUAUCCGGAUUUACUGGGUGUAAAGGGAGCGUAGGCGGUUAGAUAAGUCUGAUGUGAAAGCCCACAGCUUAACUGUGGGAUUGCAUUGGAAACUAUAGAACUAGAGUGUCGGAGAGGUAAGUGGAAUUCCUAGUGUAGCGGUGAAAUGCGUAGAUAUUAGGAGGAACACCAGUGGCGAAGGCGGCUUACUGGACGAUGACUGACGCUGAGGCUCGAAAGCGUGGGGAGCAAACAGGAUUAGAUACCCGUGUAA
Molecule: ribosomal RNA, 447 nt
Filed under: uncultured bacterium
Lineage: Bacteria
Description: partial 16S ribosomal RNA
Rfam family: Bacterial small subunit ribosomal RNA
Source: RNAcentral